CCUACGGGUGGCAGCAGUGAGGAAUAUUGGUCAAUGGGCGUAAGCCUGAACCAGCCAAGUCGCGUGAGGGAAUAAGGCCCUACGGGUUGUAAACCUCUUUUGCCGGGGAGCAAGGGCGGCUACGUGUCACGGCACCGAGAGUACCCGGAGAAAAAGCAUCGGCUAACUCCGUGUCAGCAGCCGCGGUAAUACGGGGGAUGCGAGCGUUAUCCGGAUUUAUUGGGUUUAAAGGGUGCGUAGGCGGUCUUUGAAGUCAGCGGUAAAAAUUCGGGGCUCAACCCCGUCCGGCCGUUGAAACUGGCGGUCUUGAGUGGGCGAGAAGCAGGCGGAAUGCGUGGUGUAGCGGUGAAAUGCAUAGAUAUCACGCAGAACCCCGAUUGCGAAGGCAGCCUUCCGGCGCCCUACUGACGCUGAGGCACGAAAGUGUGGGGAUCGAACAGGAUUAGAUACCCGGGUAGUC
This 460-nucleotide ribosomal RNA is filed under the name uncultured bacterium. Its description in RNAcentral is "partial 16S ribosomal RNA". It matches the Rfam family "Bacterial small subunit ribosomal RNA", at positions 338 to 795 of the family's 1533-position model. The record is from RNAcentral.